AACACAUUCAAGUCGAACGGAGUUUUGUUGAAUUUAAUCCUUUCGGGGAAGCGUUUUAAUGAACUUAGUGGCGGACGGGUGAGUAACGCGUGAGCAACCUGCCUCUGUAAGUGGAAUAACGUCUGGAAACGGACGCUAAUACCGCAUAUCGCAUAGGGACCGCAUGAUUCUUAUGCAAAAGAUUUAUUGUGCUAAGAUGGGCUCGCGUCCCAUUAGAUAGUUGGUGAGGUAACGGGCCCACCAAGUCGACGAUGGGUAGCCGAACUGAGAGGUUGAACGGCCACAUUGGAACUGAGAUACGGUCCAGACUCCUACGGGAGGCAGCAGUGGGGGAUAUUGCACAAUGGAGGAAACUCUGAUGCAGCAACGCCGCGUGAGGGAAGACGGUCUUCGGAUUGUAAACCUAAGUUAUCAGGGACGAUUAUGACGGUACCUGAAGAGAAAGCUCCGGCUAACUACGUG
This 462-nucleotide ribosomal RNA is filed under the name uncultured bacterium. Its description in RNAcentral is "bacterial SSU rRNA". It matches the Rfam family "Bacterial small subunit ribosomal RNA", at positions 50 to 507 of the family's 1533-position model. The record is from RNAcentral.